This 8795-nucleotide long non-coding RNA is filed under the name Theobroma cacao (cacao). RNAcentral's name for it is "long non-coding RNA (TCAC_LNC004610)". Lineage: Eukaryota; Viridiplantae; Streptophyta; Magnoliopsida; Malvales; Malvaceae. The record is from RNAcentral.
AAAAAGGUAAAUUUUCAUGUUUUAUGAAUAAAUAAGUUUUAAUGAAAUUAAUUUAUAAAUUGUUUUGGAAUUAAUAAUGAUUUUGAAGAAUAGAGUACACGGAGAUUGUUAAUUGUGACAAUUUGAUUGUUUAAAUUGACUGGCUUAUGAUAAAUCGAGCAUGAUUGGCUAGUUGGCAAUUGUAUUGAAAUGCGAAUUGUUUGGUUGCCUUGAAAAACUGCGAAUUACAAAAUUGUCAUAUCAUGUUAUUGAGUUUUAUUAUAUGGUGGAUUAUAUAUUAAUUAAUCACUGCAGUAGGGGGUUUCUGUGGACCAGCCUUUUAGAGGGGCACGGUAAACCCCAUUAUAUUCUUACCUCGAACGGAGAGGCGCGUAGGGUAUCUCCUGAGGUAAAAUUUUGGGUUCACUUCACGCUAAACCACCACGUGAGGGGGAACUCAGCCAACGCCAAGGAACGGCUAUGUUUUCAAAACAAAAACAUGAUUUAUGUGAAAUGUGAAUUUUAAUAGCCUUGGCGGUCUCGGUAGGAUGCCUUGGCCAAGGUGUCCCCAAGAAUGGAUUUAUGGCACAAGCCUAGAUUUUUAUGAGAUUCAUAAGCCUUUUUACGUAUUUUGAAAGAGAUUGUUCUAAUUGUAUAACCUAGUUUAUGAUGGUUUACUUUAUUGUCUCCAUGUACGCAGUUCUAGAUGUUUAUGAUGAUGUUUGUUUACUCAUUGGGAUUUUAUAAUCUCACCACCCUCCUUUCCACCCAUUUCAGGUUCAGUAUAGACUGUAGAUAGCUGAUCUCAUCGAGGACUACAGUGGGAUCUGCAUUUUCCAAACCGUAGGUUCACAGUCCUCUUUACUUUUGUUUAUUCGGGGGCACUCUUGUUAUUGUAAAUUAAAUUAAAUAUUUUGGCUUACUGUAUUUAAGUAUGUAUUAAUUUAUUUAGCUUUUACGCUAUAAAAAUUAUGCACGUAUAACUCUAUAAAUAUUGUUUUAUAAGAAAAUAGAAUAUUUUACUUAAUAUUUCUUUUAUUUUUUUAUUAUAUUCAAAUAACCAUAAUUUUGUUUUAAAGGAAGAUUUUAGACUUUUAAACUCAUUUUGAGUAUGAAUUAUGUAUUUUGUACUUGGAUAUUACGUUUUAUCUAGUUUCAAAAAUUUUGAGAAAAAUGACCAAAAUACCCUUGUGAGACGAAAAAUAAUAUUUUAUUUGUUUAAAGCUGGAAACAACUUAAAAUCUUUUAGAACACGAUAUUUGACAAUGGUUGCUCACAAGGAAACAGAGAAACUGAUAGUAAAGCCUUGCGAGGUUUCAGGUUGACAUCCCGGGCAAUAAGUGUCUACCGGGACACCGCGGCGGUUGUCACGGGCUCGAGGGGAGUACCGGGUCGUGACAAUUCGAUUGGUAUCAGAGCUUUUGGCUUUAAAGAUCAAAGUUUUUAGUUUUAAAGUUGUUUUUAAAAUUUACAAUAUCAAUGUGGCCUCGAAUUAAGUUAAGUUAGGUUAGGUUGAAUAGAUUGCAUGCAUCUGCAUAUAGAGCCUAAGGUUACCUAAACUUUCUCGUAUUUUUUUUAUAUAGAUUACAAUGCCUCCUCAACGCGAACGCCCACCUUUCACUAGAUCGGUUGGGAGGGGAAGAGGUCGUUCCCAACGUCAUCAGCCAGAUACAGUAGAGGAGGAAUCAGCUGCAUCUACCAUUCGAGCAGCACCUGCUGUUGAGCAGACCAAUAGUCCUCCACAUCUUCCAUCUCCUCAGCCACCUACGGGUAUUCCCGCCAUGCCUACUGAGGCAGCACAAGCAUUGGCAGCUUUCUUUGCAGCAAUGGCUGGUCAAGCUCAGACUGGUCAAGUUCCAUUUGUAAUGCCUCUAGCUACUCCUUUAGUUCCACCACCAGUACAGGAUGUAUCCAUUUCCAAGAAGUUGAAGGAGGCUAGGCAAUUGGGUUGUGUAUCUUUCACGGGUGAGUUGGAUGCCACUGUGGCCAAGGACUGGAUUAAUCAAGUUUCAAAGACUCUCUCUGAUAUGGGAUUAGACGACGACAUGAAGCUGAUGGUGGCUACGAGAUUAUUAGAGAAGAGGGCUCGUACUUGAUGGAAUUCGCUGAAGUCCCGUUCCGCUACUCCUCAAACAUGGUCUGAUUUUUUCAGGGAAUUCGAUGGUCAGUAUUUCACUUAUUUCCAUCAGAAAGAAAAGAAGAGAGAAUUUUUGAGUUUGAAACAGGAAAAUCUAACUGUAGAGGAGUACGAGACUCGUUUUAACGAGUUGAUGUUAUAUGUGCCGGAUCUGGUGAAAUCUGAGCAGGAUCAGGCUAGCUAUUUCGAGGAAGGGCUCCGUCAUGAGAUUAGAGAGCGAAUGACAGUGACUGGUAGGGAGCCACAUAAGGAGGUGGUACAGAUGGCUUUACGGGCUGAGAAGCUCACGACUGAGAAUAGGAGGAUUCAGAAUGAGUUUGCAAAAAGGAGGAAUCUUGGUAUGUCUUCUAGUCAGCCAAUAAAAAGAGGCAAGGACUCAACGACUUCAGGGAGCACUACUUCUGUUUCCGUGACAUCUCCUCGACUUCCAUUUCCACCAUCACAGCAGAGACCUUCGAGGUUUAGCAGAUCUGCUAUGACUGGUUCUGGGAAGAGUCUCGGAGGUUCUGACAGAUGCAGAAAUUGUGGGAAUUAUCAUAGUGGGCUAUGUAGAGGGCCAACAAGAUGUUUCCAAUGUGGACAGACGGGUCACAUUAGGAGUAAUUGCCCACAGUUAGGACGAGCCACUGUAGCUGCAUCAUCUCCACCAGCUCGCACAGAUAUACAGAGGAGAGAUUCUUCUGGGUUACCACCGAGACAGGGAGUAGCCAUACGGUCUGGUGUGGAGAGUAAUACCCCGUCACAUCCACCUUCGAGACCACAGACUCGUACCGCGACAAGAGUUUUUGCUGUGACAGAAGAUGAGGCACGAGUCCGACCUGGAGCAGUGACAGGUACUAUGUCUUUAUUUGAUAAAGAUGCUUAUGUUUUGAUAGAUUCUGGCUCAGAUAGAUCUUAUGUGAGUACGACAUUUGCAUCAAUUACUGAUAGAAACCUGUCACCAUUAGAGGAAGAAAUUGUAGUGCAUACCCCUCUAGGAGAACAGUUGAUUAGAAAUACUUGUUAUAGAGACUGUGGGGUAAGGGUAGGUGAGGAAGAAUUUAGGGGUGACUUAAUUCCUCUAGAGAUCUUGGAUUUUGAUUUAAUAUUAGGUAUGGACUGGUUAACUGCACAUCGGGCGAACGUGGAUUGUUUCCGAAAAGAAGUUGUUCUUCGGAAUUCGGAGGGAGCAGAGAUUGUGUUUGUAGGGGAACGUCGAGUAUUACCAUCUUGUGUAAUCUCGGCCAUCAAAGCUUCAAAAUUAGUGCAAAAAGGGUAUCCGACUUAUUUGGCAUACGUGAUCGAUACUUCAAAGGGGGAACCUAAGUUAGAGGAUGUCCCAAUAGUAAGUGAGUUUCCUGAUGUAUUUCCUGAUGAUUUACCGGGAAUACCUCCUAAUCGAGAGCUUGAGUUCCCUAUUGAUUUACUUCCGGGUACCGCACCUAUUUCUAUUCCUCCAUAUAGAAUGGCUCCAGCAGAGUUGAAGGAACUGAAAGCCCAGUUGCAAGAUUUGGUGGAUAAAGGUUUCAUUCGCCCUAGCAUUUCUCCUUGGGGAGCACCAGUCCUAUUUGUAAAGAAGAAAGAUGGCACUCUUCGAUUGUGUAUUGAUUACCGUCAGCUGAACCGAGUGACCAUCAAGAAUAAAUACCCUUUACCCCGGAUAGAUGAUCUUUUUGAUCAAUUACGAGGUGCUAUGGUAUUCUCUAAGAUUGAUUUGAGAUCUGGGUACUAUCAGUUGAGGAUUAAGGAGCAGGAUGUACCUAAGACUGCCUUCAGGACGCGUUAUGGGCAUUAUGAGUUUCUGGUGAUGCCGUUUGGUUUGACUAAUGCCCCGGCAGUUUUUAUGGAUCUUAUGAACAGGGUGUUCCAUCCAUACUUGGAUAAGUUUGUGAUAGUAUUCAUCGAUGACAUCCUGGUUUAUUCGAAGAAUGAUGAUGAACAUGCUGCCCAUUUGCGCAUUGUGUUGCAAACUUUGCGCGAGAGACAACUCUAUGCCAAGUUCUCUAAAUGUGAAUUCUGGUUGAAGGAAGUGGUUUUCUUGGGACAUGUGGUGUCCGGAGCUGGAAUUUAUGUCGAUCCCAAGAAGAUUGAGGCAAUCUUGCAAUGGGAGCAACCGAGAACGGUAACUGAGAUUCGUAGUUUCCUUGGCUUAGCCGGUUAUUACCGGAGAUUUGUUCAGGGAUUUUCUUUGAUAGCAGCUCCUCUGACUCGUUUGACUCGUAAAGGAGUUAAGUAUGAGUGGGAUGAUGUUUGUGAGAAUCGAUUUCAGGAGCUAAAGAACCGGUUAACCUCCGCUCCCGUUUUAACACUUCCUGUUAGUGGAAAAGAAUUUGUGGUAUAUAGCGAUGCAUCUAAGUUGGGAUUAGGGUGUGUGUUGAUGCAGGACGAGAAAGUAAUAGCUUAUGCUUCCCGACAGUUGAAGAAGCACGAGACGAAUUACCCUACUCAUGACUUGGAGUUAGCAGCAGUAGUAUUCGCAUUGAAGAUUUGGAGACAUUAUUUAUAUGGUGAGCGUUGUCGGAUUUUUUCUGAUCAUAAAAGUUUGAAGUAUUUGCUCACCCAGAAAGAGCUUAACUUGAGACAGAGACGAUGGUUGGAGUUGAUUAAGGAUUAUGACUUAGUGAUUGAUUAUCAUCCGGGAAAAGCAAAUGUUGUAGCGGAUGCCUUAAGUCGUAAAUCCUCAUCGUCGUUAGCAACACUUCAAAGUUCUUAUUUUCCGAUGUUACUUGAGAUGAAAUCUCUAGGGAUCCAGUUGAAUAAUGGUGAGGAUGGAACCCUACUUGCUAGUUUCGUCGUGAGACCUUCAUUGUUGAAUCAGAUAAGAGAAUUGCAGAAAUCUGAUGAUUGGUUGAAACAGGAAGUUCAAAAGCUGCAAGAUGGAGAAGCUAGUGAGUUUAGACUCAGCGAUGAUGGUACUUUCAUGCUUAGAGACCGAAUUUGUGUUCCUAAGGAUGAUCAGUUGAGACGAGCUAUUUUGGAGGAAGCUCAUUCUUCCGCCUACGCUUUACAUCCCGGAAGCACCAAGAUGUAUCGGACUAUUAAAGAAAGUUAUUGGUGGCCGGGUAUGAAACGAGACAUAGCAGAGUUUGUAGCGAAAUGUCUCACAUGCCAACAGAUCAAGGCGGAGCAUCAAAAACCGUCAGGUACUCUUCAACCUUUACCGAUUCCUGAAUGGAAGUGGGAACAUGUGACUAUGGACUUUGUAUUGGGUUUGCCGCGGACACAAAGUGGGAAGGAUGCUAUUUGGGUGAUUGUGGAUAGAUUGACUAAGUCCGCCCAUUUCUUGGCUAUCCAUAGCACGUAUUCUAUUGAGAGGCUGGCAAGACUUUAUAUAGAUGAGAUUGUGAGAUUACACGGAGUCCCAGUUUCUAUUGUGUCAGAUCGAGACCCUCGAUUUACUUCUCGAUUUUGGCCGAAAUUUCAGGAAGCUCUUGGAACUAAAUUGAGAUUUAGUACUGCCUUUCAUCCACAGACAGAUGGUCAAUCUGAGAGAACUAUUCAGACCUUGGAGGAUAUGUUACGGGCUUGUGUCAUUGACUUUAUCGGGAGUUGGGACAGACACUUGCCAUUGGUGGAGUUUGCUUAUAAUAACAGUUUUCAGUCUAGUAUUGGGAUGGCACCAUACGAGGCUUUGUAUGGAAGGAAAUGCCGAACUCCGCUCUGUUGGGAUGAAGUAGGUGAGAGGAAAUUGGUGAAUGUGGAAUUGAUUGAUUUGACAAACGAUAAGGUCAAAGUUAUCCGAGAGCGAUUAAAGACAGCUCAAGAUAGGCAGAAGAAUUAUUCGGAUAAACGAAGGAAAGAUUUGGAGUUUGAAGUCGACGAUAAAGUUUUUCUUAAGGUUUCUCCUUGGAAAGGUAAUAAUUUGAAAUUUCCAAGUAUUAAAUCUUAUUUGAUUAUACUAUUGUGAUAAUUUGUGGUAUUUAUUGGAUGAUGAAAGGUGUGAUUCGAUUCGCGAAGAGGGGAAAGCUCAAUCCAAGAUACAUUGGACCUUUUCGUAUCAUUGAAAGGAUUGGGCCAGUGGCUUACAGACUUGAAUUACCCCCAGAGUUAGAUCGAAUUCAUAAUGUCUUCCAUGUCUCGAUGUUGAAAAAGUAUGUUCCCGAUCCCUCUCACAUUUUAGAGACACCUCCCAUUGAGUUGCAUGAGGAUUUGAAGUUCGAGGUGCAGCCUGUACGUAUUCUAGAUCGAAAGGAUCGAGUGCUAAGGAACAAGAGCAUUCCAAUGGUGAAAGUAUUGUGGAAGAAUGCUCGAAUGGAGGAGAUGACGUGGGAAGUCGAGAGCCAGAUGAGAAACCAAUAUCCACAUCUUUUAUUCGAAUCAGGUAAGUGAAAUUUUGAGGUCAAAAUUUUAUUUUAAGGGGGGUAGUGCUGUAAAGCCCGACCUUAUAAAAUACUAUUCAUGACAUACAUGUGAUGAUAGCAUGAUUGCAUGCUAGGAGAGUCCCGAAAAAUUUACAAAAGUCGGUAUUGUACCUAGAGGUACAACAAAGUUUAUUUAAUCCUCGAACUAGAUCAAAUAGGAAUUUUAAGGUGAGAUUAAGAGUUUCACAGUUCAUGGAUGACUUAAAAUGGUAAUUUGGAGUUUGAGGAUCAAUUUGGAGUCAAAUCGGAAUUUUCACUAACUAGGGGCAAAAUGGUCAUUUGCCACCUGGGGACAAAAUGGGAAUUUUAGAAAAGAUUUUUUUGACCCCAUUUGACUUAUUAGAGUAUAAUUUGACUUAUUGAAGUAUGAUUUGAGGUUUAGAAGUGAAAAAUUUUAAUUUCGGUAUAAUUUGGAGUAUAGGGGUAAAAUGGUAAUUUUGCCACCUCAGGGGCAAAAUUGUAAUUUUCCACCACCAGGAUAUUUUUUCCAGCACAUGGUCUUCCUUUGUCUUCAUCUUUGACCCUUGACUAAACAUGUGGUGGAGAUAAAAUGUUUAAAUUUUUAAAAUUUUAAAAACGGGCCAAUGACAUGAUGCCAUGUGUCAUGCCUUUAUUAAUUUAUUAUUUUCCUUUUUAAAAGGCACAAAAUCAGCCCAUCUUCCACCCCAUGGCCGGCCAAACCAGCAAGAAGAGAGAGAAAAAAAAAACAAAACCCUAGAGAGAGAAAAUCAAAGAAAAAGUGUGAAUUUUCAAGGAAAUUAAGUGAAAAAGGUGAGAUUUUUUCUAUUAAGCUUGAGUUUUCUUAUUCCCAAGCAUUUCUCUUUAUUUUCCAUGAUUAAAUUACAUGUUUUCAUGAUGAAUUCAAUUCUGAAAAAAUGGGUUAGGAGAGAGAAAGUUGUUGGAUUUAUUUGAUUUUAAUUUAUGUUAGUGUUUUUAGUUAGUUUAGCAUAUUUAGAAACAAAACAACAAGAAAAGAAUUUAUUUUCUCCCCCAACCAUUAAUGGCUGAAUUUACCAUGUAGUGAGUGAGGAUGAGUUUGAUUUUAUUCUAGGAGAAUUGGUUAAGGAAUGAUGAAUUAUGAGCCUAGAAAAAUAAUGGGAAUUUUCGGAGCAAAAAUACGAAUUUUUACCCACUAGGGGUAUUUUCGUAAUUUGCUGUUGGGACUGAUAAUUUGCACCACACUGAGGGACAUUAAGUUAAUUUGGGUGCAAUUGAGGUAUAGAAACUGAAAAGAAUUAAAUUGGAGUUUAAACGGACCCGUUAGGAAUUUAAUCGGGUGAUAAGACGAAUUAGGCCAAUACCGGGUUUAGAUAGUUACCAGUGCAUUUUUGCAUUCCAUAUCAUGCAUUGGUAGUCUAAAUUAGUUUAAUUUUGAUUUAGUACCAACUUGGUGAAACUCUCGAUUUUGUACUGUGUCAAGGUGGUGAGUCCUCCGAUAAAGGCAAGGAAAUUGCAUCCGAGGACCAGUAGACAGAGUGCUUCGAAAGUCUGCAUUCUAGACAUUGUGAGUAAACUUACUGUCAUUUUAAUUAUCUAGGGUGGUUUUUAGAUGCUUUCAUGAAUUCUAUGGAAAAAGGAAUUUAAAAAGAUAAAUUUUCAUGUUUUAUGAAUAAAUGAGUUUCAAUGAAAUUAAAUUAUAAAUUGUUUUGAAAUUAAUAGUGAUUUUGAAAAAUAGAGUACACGGAGACUGUUAAUUGUGGCAAUUUGAUUGUUUAAAUUAACUGGCUUAUGAUAAAUCGAGCAUGAUUGGCUAGUUGGCAAUUGUAUUGAAAUGCGAAUUGUUUGGUUACCUUGAAAAACUACGAAUUACAAAAUUGCCAUAUCAUGUUAUUGAGUUUUAUUAUAUGGUGGAUUAUAUAUUAAUUAAUCACUGCAGUAGGGGGUUUCUGUGGACCAGCCUUUUAGAGGGGCACGGUAAACCCCAUUAUAUUCUUACCUCGAACGGAGAGGCGCGUAGGGUAUCUCCUGGGGUAAAGUUUAGGGUUCACUUCACGCUAAACCACCACGUGAGGGGGAACUCAGCCAACGCCAAGGAACGGCUAUGUUUUCAAAACAAAAACAUGAUUUAUGUGAAAUGUGAAUUUUAAUAGCCUUGGCGGUCUCGGUAGGAUGCCUCGGCCAAGGUGUCCCCGAGAAUGGAUUUAUGGCACAAGCCUAGAUUUUUAUGAGAUUCAUAAGCCUUUUUAUGUAUUUUGAACGAGAUGUGUUCUAAUUGUAUAACCCAGUUUAUGAUGAUUUACUUUAUUGUCUCCAUGUACUCAAUUCUAGAUGUUUAUGAUGAUGUUUGUUUGCUCAUUGGGAUUUUAUAAUCUCACCACCCUCAUUUCCACCCAUUUCAG